Molecule: small nucleolar RNA, 126 nt
Organism: Rhinichthys klamathensis goyatoka
Lineage: Eukaryota; Metazoa; Chordata; Actinopteri; Cypriniformes; Leuciscidae
Product: small nucleolar RNA ACA64
Exons: 1
Source: RefSeq, a predicted model, not a curated record
ACAAUAUGAAAAUUACCCAUGGCAUUUGUUGUUUUGGGUAAGAUAAUUGUGCCGACAGUAAUCUGGCACAUUUAGCUUAUUGGCAACUCCAUGUUGUUGUGCAAUGAAACCCAUGUGCCAACACUA